RNAcentral lists this ribosomal RNA (551 nucleotides) under uncultured bacterium. RNAcentral's name for it is "bacterial SSU rRNA". It matches the Rfam family "Bacterial small subunit ribosomal RNA", at positions 580 to 1138 of the family's 1533-position model. The record is from RNAcentral.
CUGGUAAGUCAGUGGUGAAAGCCCAUCGCUCAACGGUGGAACGGCCAUUGAUACUGCCAGGCUUGAAUUUCCAGGAAGCAACUAGAAUAUGUAGCGUAGCGGUGAAAUGCUUAGAUAUUACAUGGAAUACCAAUUGCGAAGGCAGGUUGCUACUGGUGGAUUGACGCUGAUGGACGAAAGCGUGGGUAGCGAACAGGAUUAGAUACCCUGGUAGUCCACGCCGUAAACGAUGGAUACUAGCUGUUGGGGGCAACUUCAGUGGCUAAGCGAAAGUGAUAAGUGUCCCACCUGGGGAGUACGAACGCAAGUUUGAAACUCAAAGGAAUUGACGGGGGCCCGCACAAGCGGUGGAGCAUGUGGUUUAAUUCGAUGAUACGCGAGGAACCUUACCAAGGCUUAAAUGUAGACUGACCGGCUUGGAAACAGGCCUUUCGCAAGACAGUCUACAAGGUGCUGCAUGGUUGUCGUCAGCUCGUGCCGUGAGGUGUCAGGUUAAGUCCUAUAACGAGCGCAACCCCUGUUGUUAGUUGCCAGCGAGCCAUGUCGGGAAC